GCGGCCGUGGCGGAAAGGCAGACGUGCACGCUUGAGGGGCGUGUGAGCAAUCGUAUGGGUUCAAAUCCCAUCGGCCGCACCA
Molecule: transfer RNA, 82 nt
Filed under: Peptostreptococcaceae bacterium
Lineage: Bacteria; Bacillati; Bacillota; Clostridia; Peptostreptococcales; Peptostreptococcaceae
Description: tRNA-Leu
Rfam family: tRNA
About the family: Transfer RNA (tRNA) molecules are approximately 80 nucleotides in length.
Source: RNAcentral